GAGAGAAUUUUUAUCCCAUAGAUAAAUUCUAUAUUUUGAGUAUCUGAAAAAUCCAACAUCCAUCUUUGAAAUAUAUAAUUAGUAGCAUAGUUACUCAAUAUUUUAUGAUCAUCAAAAUCAAUCAUAGGGUCAACACUAAGCUUUUCUCUAUACCAAAUUUAAUAUUCUUGCAUCUUCAAAUGGUUUAGAGAGCAUGAAGAUUUGGGGUCCCACCACUC
Molecule: long non-coding RNA, 218 nt
Filed under: Elaeis guineensis (African oil palm)
Lineage: Eukaryota; Viridiplantae; Streptophyta; Magnoliopsida; Arecales; Arecaceae
Description: long non-coding RNA (EGUI_LNC046630)
Source: RNAcentral